AUAUCAAUAAGCGGAGGAAAAGAAACCAACAGGGAUUGCCCUAGUAACGGCGAGUGAAGCGGCACAAGCUCAAAUUUGAAAUCUGGCUUCGGCCCGAGUUGUAAUUUGGAGAGGAUGUUUCGGGCACCGCCAUGGCUUAAGUUUCUUGGAACAGAAUGUCAGAGAGGGUGAGAAUCCCGUCUGGAGCCUCGGUAGGACCCAUGUGAAACUCCUUCGACGAGUCGAGUUGUUUGGGAAUGCAGCUCAAAAUGGGUGGUAAAUUUCAUCUAAAGCUAAAUAUUGGCCAGAGACCGAUAGCGCACAAGUAGAGUGAUCGAAAGAUGAAGAGCACUUUGAAAAGAGAGUUAAACAGUAUGUGAAAUUGUUGAAAGGGAAGCGCUUGCCUCCAGACGUGCCGGCGCCGGUUCCCCUCCGCUUCUGCGGGGGAUACUCCGGCGUGGGCAGGCCAACAUCGGUUCGGGGGGCUGGUCAAAGGCCGGGGGAAUGUAUCUUGUCUUUCGGGGCAAGACUUAUAGCCCCUGGUGUCAUGCGGCCUCCCUGGACCGAGGAACGCGCUUCGGCUCGGAUGUUGGCGUAAUGGUGGUCAGCGA
RNAcentral lists this ribosomal RNA (590 nucleotides) under uncultured fungus. RNAcentral's name for it is "eukaryotic LSU rRNA". It matches the Rfam family "Eukaryotic large subunit ribosomal RNA", at positions 40 to 647 of the family's 3401-position model. The record is from RNAcentral. Lineage: Eukaryota; Fungi.